UACGUAGGGGGCAAGCGUUGUCCGGAUUUAUUGGGCGUAAAGAGCGCGUAGGCGGUCCGGUAAGUCCGCUCUGAAAGUCCGGGGCUCAACCCCGGGAGGCGGGCGGAGACUGCCGGGCUAGAGUCCGGAAGAGGCGAGUGGAAUUCCUGGUGUAGCGGUGAAAUGCGCAGAUAUCAGGAGGAACACCAGAGGCGAAGGCGGCUACCUGGACAAUUGCUGACGCUCAGGCACGAAAGCGUGGGGAGCAAAAGGG
RNAcentral lists this ribosomal RNA (253 nucleotides) under uncultured bacterium. Its description in RNAcentral is "partial 16S ribosomal RNA". It matches the Rfam family "Bacterial small subunit ribosomal RNA", at positions 524 to 776 of the family's 1533-position model. The record is from RNAcentral.